RNAcentral lists this long non-coding RNA (210 nucleotides) under Lepisosteus oculatus (spotted gar). Its description in RNAcentral is "lncRNA (ENSLOCG00000022924.1)". The record is from RNAcentral. Lineage: Eukaryota; Metazoa; Chordata; Actinopteri; Semionotiformes; Lepisosteidae.
AAAUAAACCUAAAGAAUAAAUAAGUCUAAAGAAGACUGUUACUGAAUGUGUGCAAUCAUGGGUUACUUCUAAGUCUUCAGACCACCUUAUUGGUCCAGCGUAUGAACAGUCUGAUGUCAUGUGGUGUUUGGGAACCUUUUAGACACUGACCAGUGAGUGUACUAUAGGAGAUGUCAACUGGAUUUUCUUACAGCCCAUCUCUUUCCUGUC